Molecule: long non-coding RNA, 7681 nt
Organism: Herpailurus yagouaroundi (jaguarundi)
Lineage: Eukaryota; Metazoa; Chordata; Mammalia; Carnivora; Felidae
Exons: 2
Source: RefSeq, a predicted model, not a curated record
CUUAACCGACUGAGCCACCCAGGUGCCCCAAUAGCAAUAAUAAUCAAUAAAACUUAUUAAAUGCAAAAUAAAAUCCAUAAGCCUCAAAGAGUUAAUGCAGUUUCCAAAGGUGCUUGACAGAAAAGAAACAGUCUAGGCACAGGGAGAAUCUGGCUUAUUGGGAGCAAAUGAAGCCAAGAUUUUAAAAUGUCUUUUAAUGUGAAACACGUAUGUGCCCCUGGGCCUGAAAACAAGCCACAACCUUCCCAGUUGUAGUGAAGGUUCCUAACAAUAGAAAUGAGUUGCAGUACAAUGUUAUUUAAACUGGAAAGUUCUGAGGAGAAUUUUGAUUUGUAGAGGAGGUCACAGAUGGGAGAAGACAAGUACAGAGGGCAGAAGGGAGAGGCCAUUUUUCUAUGACUCUUCUGAUUACAAAGAGAGCAGAUUUAGCUGCUAGUUCUCAUUAUCUGUGUAUGCAGAAGAGAACCAAACAAGCCUAACAAAAUGAAAAUUGAUAUUUAAUCACAAAGCUAGAAGGUACCUUAUUAAAUUGACCUGCUUUGGUAUUGAGAUAAUUAGUUGUGGUUUUAAGUGUCCUUAUGGAAGCACUCUCAUUCAUGGUGGUGUGGACUUCUGUUUGCUUCUUGCUUAGGGGACAUCAGUUCUUCAAUAGAACUCUGUCAAACAUUCUGAUUCUACAUGGGCUGUGUGGUUUUUGUUUUAAAUUUGUAUUUUAAAAUAAUCAUAGAUUCAUAGGAAAUUGCAAAGAAAAAAAUGUGCAGGGAAUUCCUUAUGCAUCCUUCACCAAGUCUUCCCCUAUGGUAAUGUCAUAUAGAGUUACGUCUCAAAACCGAGAAAUUGACAUUGGAAUACUCCACAGAGCUUAUUCUGAUUUACAAACACUCAUGUGUAUGCGUGUGUGUGUCUGUGCAUCUGUGUGGUUCUACGCAAUGUCAUCCUGUAUAGUUUCAUGUAACACCACUGUGAUCAAGACACAGUGUUCCACGUGGGGUUUGAAGAACUGUAAAGGGAUUCAGAAUGAGUCACUUUGCUUGUGGUCCCACCAGCUUGAGUUCAGGACUUUUUAUUUUGGGGGACUGCUGCUUUGUGGGGAUAGGUAACAUAGCUUUUGCAACAUAAAGUGACUUUUCUUAUGUGAUCAUCAUUAAAGGUGUGUUUCUCAAGGACUAUGUUUUGAGGAAGAAAAUCAUGGUCACUUUAUGUGAAGGAAGUGAAAUGGUAAAUUUAUACCCCAAAACAUAAAAUCUGUUAGUGGUCUUUAUUUUGGGGGCAAGUCCACCAAUUCUGGCAUAACAACAAUGGACUCAAUCCUAGAAAAGUUCCUCUUCUGCCAAGUUUUAGAACAUUUGAGACUUGUUCAAUAAAUGGUGCAACUUUCUAGUUCCUGAAACAGAAGACUGUCAAUCCCCCAGAGAAAUGCCCUGGUAUGUUUGAAGUGAAUAGGUAUGAUUCUACAAUAAAGAAAUGGAAAGUCACUUAAUAGCAUCUUCUAAGCAUUGUCAACAUAUUAAAAUCCGCCUCACUUAUGUUUUAUAGGUAAUUGCUAUCUCCAGAACUUAAGGAUACAUAGUCCUAUCUACUAUUUACAUGGCGUGAGGAUUUUAAUUGUCUCUGCGCCUAGUAUAUCAAAACUAAGGUGCUUAGGAAUGUAAGUUCAGUGUCAUUAAACUUUUUGUUCCCAGGAUUUGCUGAUAAAUCUAUAGUCUAGCAAAACCGUUUGCAUGCGUGGUUUGUUCUAACACCUGCAACCCAGUCUUUCUUGGAAACUCUUAUUUCUGACAUUAUUUUUAGCAAGAGUUCUAGAGGAGAGAAGAGUUCUAGAGUGGGUUGGUUGGAAAACUCUGGUGGAUCCAGCAAGCUCAGCUCUGAUGAAGUAAUGAGAUAUGUGAUGAGAAGUGAAAUGUCUAAACAUCAAGAUAGUAAUUUGGCAAAAGCAGCUUUGGGGUGUUUAUAAAAAGAAUACAUCCCACUAGAUAUAACUGUCUUAGGGGUCUUAGGGUCUUAGGGAUUUAAAAGAGUAAGACUUCAGCAAAGCAUUGUCUCCUAACACUGGGUUUGAAAAAGUCAAUUUAUUUGGGAACAGAGUAGCCAAAAAACAUUAAGAGCCUUAAAUAUUCUGAAAAAGAUAAUCACAAAUCCCACAUUCAUGAAAGAGCAGAGGAGGAAGAUCAUCAUUAAUGACGAUAAAAUGAAAAACAGAAAAGAGGCCAGAUUACUUGCAAUAAAAAAGUAAGCUUAUCUUUAUAGAAAUGUGCUCCUGAAUAUAGAUUUUAAAUGUUAGGAGAGGAAAACCAAGGUUGUGUCAGUAUGUGCUCCCCCUACACACCCAUCUAAUCUUCUAAGGAGUGGAAUAACAAGGAUGUUUUGAACAACUGUGCAGGAGUUAAGAAAAUAUUCAAGCCAAACAGUCUAUUCAGUGGACAUUGAGACAUCCCCCAAAAAUAUUUGUGAAAGAUGGCAAGUUGAAUAGUUUUAGAAAUAAUGUCUUAGUCACUAAGCUUAUAGUUAGGAGGGUGUCAGACUGCAGUGUAUUGGCCUGUAAAAGACAAAAGCAGGUCAAUGUCUUUGGUAACCAACUAGCAAAUAGCAAUAGUAGUCAUGUCAUGUGCCAAGUAAACACGUCAACAUAGGAGUAUUGUUAUAAAGAGUAAAUGAGGGAAUGCAUAGAGACUUUAUAGCACAAGGCUUUUUUUUUUUUUUUUAGCUGGACUUUCUUUACCUCUCAGAAAACAUUAACAUCUCAGUUUGAAGCUAAGUUCUAUGUUGUCGUCACAGGUAUUAGUGCAUUUUACUGCAUGGUUAUAGUAAAAACAAAAUUCAGAGUAUGUUUUACAUCUAUAAUGUCUCACAUCCAUGCCAUUCUUAAGCUAAGACUUCUUUUUCAGCUGUGGAGCAGUACAAACUCAUGACUUUGCUAACAGUUCAUGACUGCUGUGUAAUAACAUAACAUGCACUAGGAAUGUGCUGUAUUAUUUUACCUAAACAUGUAUUAUUUUACCUAAACCUUAGAACAGUGCUGUGAGGUAGGUUACUAUUUUAUCUCUAUUUUACAGAUGGGAAAGCUGAGGCGGAGAGAGUAACUUGCGGAGGUCCAUAGCUGGUAGGUGCUUGAGCCAGGAUGAAACCACGCUCCAAGGCUCAUGCACUUUACUGAAGUCUCUUCUUAAGGAAGCUAUUGGUUAAGAGGGAAGUGAGGGUGGGAGUGGGGCAGCAGAUUAGAUACCUGAGGAUCAGGUAGGGAAAAGGUUAGGGUACAGACAACAUUCUUGCCCAAAGCUAAAUUUCCAGACCAGAAGCUGUUAUAAAGGAAUAGGAGUCUGAGCCACAGAAAUCAGUAAAUGGAGGGGAUGGGGUGUUCAAAGGGAAGACUAGGACCUAAUGCAUGUUUGAGGGAUGACUGGAGAAUUUGGAAAUAGCAAAACAAAUCUGUGAGCAUGAAGGGGUGAGAUUGUAAGAAACCAAACGACCUGAAAGACUCUUGGUGAAGGAGGAGCAGAUUCUUGAGUGAGUAGGUGGAUGUGUGAACUGGUGAGGCUUGGGGUGGAUGUUCUUCUACUGUUUUCAUUGUCUCAACCUGCCCUCGACAUUUCCUCAGAUAUUCCCGUCUUCCUCUAGAGGCUAACAUCUAGGAGCUUGAGGGUUUUCUUUUUAGUAUGACUGAGUAUUCAACUCCUGCAUACUUAGGUUUGUAUAGUCUGAGAGAAUUACUUCAAUAGGAAUUGUAUACCCCUGAAAAAUACACUGCUCAUGAAUUAUCUUUUUCUACAGGUGAGCACUUAAUACAUAUUUUUCAAUCUUAGGUACCAUGAUCUACCUCCAAGAUACAGUAUGCAUUAUUAAUACUCUCAAAUAGGAAGGAUCUGAGUCUUUCCCUGCGGAGACAGCCCUGAAGAACUCCUGUAACGUCAAGCUGGCGAUUUCCAAGAAGCAAUCCGGGACCUACAUUCCCAAAGAGACCCACAAGAAAGAAAAGACAUGAGGCUCUGAAGCACCGACACCAUGCAGAUCUCAGUGCUGCCUGUUCCUGGGGUGGUGGGCUGAUAAGAGCAUCCCUGCUCUCCCGGCCCUCGACUUCUGCAGCCCUAAGAAUCCCCUGCUCUCUCAUCAAAUACAAACUUUAAAACGAUGGUACCCAUGAGACAGCCCUGGGAAAAAGCAUAUUAGGGACACUCCUUAUGGAGGAGAAGCUGAUUCUACUAAUGGUGCGUUUUCAGUAAAUGAGAAACGGACUCUGAUCGAAAUUAAAUCUGUGGUUCAACGAAGGUUUUUAGUAUUCUCUUCCUUAGUGCCUAAUGUGGAAAGACAUGCGCCCAAGUUUACAACUGUUUUCCUCAUCCCACCAUCCUUUGGGGUUGGAUCCAAAAGACUUGGAACCAUUCCUGCUUCCCAAGUCAAGCACCAGGUUGAGGGGGACUCAGUAUGUUCCAGGCCCUGACACAGACUGGCAUCGUAAAUGACGGGGAGUCCCACAAGUCCUCCAAACCCAGUCUGGCCCAGGGCUUGCCACCACCGCAUGCCAGAUGGCCACCCCACACGCAAAGAUGUGGCAGCACCACCCUGUCCACACACCCUGACCCCACGAGCCUCAGAAAGGAGGCUCAGGUUCUGACAGAACGUCUGGUGAAUACCAGCAUUCUUCCCCUUUGUUGGAAGUAUCAGAGUCACGUGAGAGGGGUAAGGCGAGGGAAGGGUGGUCCGUGACCUGCAGAACAGAAUGCCCCCCCAGCAGAGCUGUUCGCCGCACACAAGGAAAUGCGUGUCUAGAUUAGGAGUACUCACCGGUGACAUCUAGGCCACUUGCUCACCCUUUACACCUUACCCUCUAAGGUGCCACCAGUGUGCCUUCACAGAGGUCCCCAAAGGACCCAGAAACUGGAGUACUGCUUAUUCAUUAUUUCCAGAGAGAGAGAGGAUCUGAGGUGACUUGUCGUGAAAGGCCCACAAGUAAAACUGAUCAAGUGAGAAUAAAGAAUGAAAUGAUGAAAUGAACAAAAAUUGUCGUAAAGAUAACGGAGGCCAAGUCUGGGUGCGGCAACAGCGUAGCAUGUAGUCGGAUGCCUCCUGACACUACGGGGAGAAGUUCCGCAAGUUACGGCCAGUUGUAAUUACAGAGUAUUAACUCUCAAAUGGCACAACACCCGGCUGGCUUCUGCUUCCAUUUCAGAUGAAAACUGGCUGUACAUUCAGCUUGUGAUAUCUACGUGUUGCCUAAAAGAUGUUGAAUCUCAUCUGUGUGGGUGAUACAGAGAUUGGCCCUAGGCUGCCCUGGCUCUCGGUGAUUUGCGGACAGACACGGAAGGAGAUCUUCUGGAAAACUCAAUCACAAAGGGAAGGCACUCAUCAGACCUCAAGGGAUCCAUAGUCUGGCUCCAACUGUCAGAGCUUGAUUUUCCUUACCUCAAAGUCAUUUCCUUUGUUAUAGUGCAUAUUGAGAGCUCGAAAAAGUUCUGAGUCUCGGAGUACCACCAGCAUUUUGGGAUUUGUGACACCAUCUGAAAUCGCUUGCCGGGCGGAUUUUUCCAUUUGGAUGUAAUAAAACUCACGAAAGUUGCUGAACCACUUGAUCAUCUGGGAGGUAAUGCAGCGGUUGAACUGUACAAACAACAGGGCCCAUCAGGUCGGAUGUUUGCCAUGAGGUGCUCAGAGCCAGAACUCUCAGCCUCCAUUUCAACAUAGGGCUUAAUAAGGAUGGCUUCAGCCACCAUGAGAAAGGGCUUUCUUUAAAAAAGAAGUCAUAGCCGUUUUCCUAGCCUUUUCACUUGUACACAGAAAAAUCCGAAUUAGCUAUAAUGCCGAUUAGAAAAUACUGUUUUGAUGUACUUACUAUAUUUAUGACUUUUUUACCCACGAAAAGAUUUCCAUGGUGUCUACUGUGACUUUGGGAGGGUUUCGGGUCAAAGCCAGUGUGGUACCAGCUUCUGCUGCACCUGGGCAGGUGGCACAGCAGCCCCAGAGCUCUCUGCCGAGUCAAGGGCAAAGGAAGGGAUAAGGGUAUAGAGCAGAGAGCAGGCCAUUGCAACCUUGGAGUUGCAGAAUGAAUCGAAAUCAGAGCUUGGUGCAGGAGUCAACCAAGCAACCGAAUAUGAGGGAAAGAUCUGGAAAACACAAAGAAGUAGAUUCAAAGUAUUAGCUGCCCUCUCCCAACACCCAGGGUAAGGGAACAGGCAUAGUCUGGUUCCAGCUGUCAGAGCUUGAUUUUCCUUAUCAUCAUGCUUGAUGUCUACAUACCUUCAUUCAGUGUUGAAAUACAGCAAUUUGAAUAUAAAUGUGACAAUGUCCAACCCUUUACGUAUUCUAUCUUUUUCAUAGUCUUCCCCAGCAGAGAUAAAACACUAGGCCAAAAAUGCCAUUUACUUAUGUUUCUCUCUCCCCUCCACCCUUCCUCCCCAUGGGUUUGUAUAUCUACAGGUCAAAAGCUUAAUAUUCAGAUACCCAACCUUUGUGGCCCAAAGUUAUUCAUACAGAGUCUCAGCCCAGAACUGGAAAUUGUACCGAUCCCAUCAGCAACAUGAAGGGGACCUGAGGUGCACAUAAGAUGACCUAGGACUUGCCUCCCACUGGGCAAAACCAUUCCCUCUUGGGAGUUUUUCAGAGGCUUUCAGAGGUGAAGAAUGACUUUACCUGGACAUCAGGGAAAUAAGCCUUCAGCAGGUUGGAGCUGGGGUAGCGUGUGAAGAAAAACAUGAGUUUGGCCUUCUUCAAGUGACCAGGAUUUAGGCCCUCCUGGAUUUAUCUCAGCGUCAAGGAAAACUAACACCGCUUUAUCACGUGAUUUUUAUCCGUUAAUCCAAAUAAUGACUUGUCCUGUUCCUGACGGUUUCUUUUUUUCUUUUGUUUCAUUUUUUCUGGGCGAAUGGUGUAUUAGUUCCAUUCUUCUGUCUGAUCAGAUAAGCUCUUUCUUAGGGUGCCUGGCUGGAUCAGUCGGUAAAACCAGUGACUCCUGAUCUCGGGGUUGUGAAUUCAAGUCCCACACUGGACCUAGAGCUUACUUAAAAACUAAGAAAAAAGCUUUUGCUUUCCAGAUGCUCAAUACCAUAUAUGUACCGUAAAUUUGCAGAAUUCAAAAAACAUUUUGAGGUGUGAAAGUUCUACAGCCUUUAUGAUAUCAAAUACAGUUUGUUGUACUUUGUGUGUGUGCUUUCAGAACAGGAUGGGGAAAGAUGGCAGGUCUGUCCCAGAUUUCAAAGCCCCACAUAGAGAUUUCAUUCCCCUUCUGGGCCUCAGUUUCUUCAUCUGUAAAAUGAGACAAGCCCACUAGAUGGUCCCCAUUCUAUUCGCAGAGCUCCCUUUGCAGUGUUUAAGCCAAUGAACACCUAACCUGCCUGAGUACAAGAGCACAGUUGGCUCCAGCUCAGGAAGCUUGAACUUCUCGGCUGUGUCUGCUCCUCAUUUGCCUGGCAGAGCUUCCCUCACCCUUCCCAGUUCAGCCCAGACACCCUUCCUCUGUGAAAUAUUUCCUUGCUGAAUGAGGCCUUCCUUACCCUGGGCUAUCAAGGCUUUUUGUACAAACCUCUGUUGUAGCAAUGACCUCCCUGGAAUUUUUACUGCAUGUUUGUCUCCCCAUUUAGACUGUGAGCUCCUUGAGGGCAAGCACCUUAUCUUUUCAUCUUUGUAUUCCACAUGCCUAGCCCGGUGCUAGGAACAUAGUAGGUGCUCAAUAAAUGUUGGUUGGAUGAAGGAA